This 77-nucleotide transfer RNA is filed under the name bacterium. RNAcentral describes it as "tRNA-Arg". It matches the Rfam family "tRNA". From Rfam's summary of the family: Transfer RNA (tRNA) molecules are approximately 80 nucleotides in length. Their secondary structure includes four short double-helical elements and three loops (D, anti-codon, and T loops). Further hydrogen bonds mediate the characteristic L-shaped molecular structure. tRNAs have two regions of fundamental functional importance: the anti-codon, which is responsible for specific mRNA codon recognition, and the 3' end, to which the tRNAs corresponding amino acid is attached (by aminoacyl-tRNA synthetases). tRNAs cope with the degeneracy of the genetic code in two manners: having more than one tRNA (with a specific anti-codon) for a particular amino acid; and 'wobble' base-pairing, i.e. permitting non-standard base-pairing at the 3rd anti-codon position. RNAcentral also lists the same sequence under 2 other names. The record is from RNAcentral.
GCGCCCGUAGCUCAGAAGGAUAGAGCACAGGAUUCCUAAUCCUGGGGUCGCGCGUUCGACUCGCGCCGGGCGCACCA